Molecule: ribosomal RNA, 497 nt
Filed under: uncultured bacterium
Lineage: Bacteria
Description: partial 16S ribosomal RNA
Rfam family: Bacterial small subunit ribosomal RNA
Source: RNAcentral
GACGAACGCUGGCGGCGUGCCUAAUACAUGCAAGUAGAACGCUGAAGAGAGGAGCUUGCUCUUCUUGGAUGAGUUGCGAACGGGUGAGUAACGCGUAGGUAACCUGCCUGGUAGCGGGGGAUAACUAUUGGAAACGAUAGCUAAUACCGCAUAACAACAGUUGUUGCAUGACAGCUGUUUAAAAGAUGCAAUUGCAUCACUACCAGAUGGACCUGCGUUGUAUUAGCUAGUUGGUGAGGUAACGGCUCACCAAGGCGACGAUACAUAGCCGACCUGAGAGGGUGAUCGGCCACACUGGGACUGAGACACGGCCCAGACUCCUACGGGAGGCAGCAGUAGGGAAACUUCGGCAAUGGGGGGAACCCUGACCGAGCAACGCCGCGUGAGUGAAGAAGGUUUUCGGAUCGUAAAGCUCUGUUGUAAGAGAAGAACGAGUGUGAGAGUGGAAAGUUCACACUGUGACGGUAUCUUACCAGAAAGGGACGGCUAACUACGUG